This 282-nucleotide ribosomal RNA is filed under the name uncultured bacterium. Its description in RNAcentral is "partial 16S ribosomal RNA". It matches the Rfam family "Bacterial small subunit ribosomal RNA", at positions 136 to 420 of the family's 1533-position model. The record is from RNAcentral.
GAGGGGGAGAACUACUGGAAACGGUAGCUAAUACCGCAUAACGUCGCAGGACCAAAGAGGGGGACCUUUGGGCCUCUCGCCAUUAGAUGUGCCCAGAUGGGAUUAGCUAGUAGGUGGGGUAACGGCUCACCUAGGCGACGAUCCCUAGCUGGUCUGAGAGGAUGAUCAGCCACACUGGAACUGAGACACGGUCCAGACUCCUACGGGAGGCAGCAGUGGGGAAUAUUGCACAAUGGGCGCAAGCCUGAUGCAGCCACGCCGCGUGUAUGAAGAAGGCCUUCG